AUGAAUAGCAGUGAUGGGCAUUCUGAACAGCCGGGGACUCACGACUCCGCGCUUGCCUCACGGCUGAACGGCUGUUGCGGCCGUGGCGGGAGCCGCAUGGUGAUCUGUACCUCUCUGCCUGGGCCGCUAGUCCGAUCCGUGCCAGGGCCACAGCUAUGGAAGCCUGCUCUCGUCUGCAACCCUGACAUCGCAGGCUCCCAGGACUGUCCCAUUCGCCGGCACCACGAAGCAGACCCUGUCGCUCCCCCUGUGGCACAGGACAAAAGUGAGGCACAGAGGAGCGACACGCUUUCCCAGACCUGGGGCUCAUCAGGGGUCAGGGCCGCAGUGCCUUCCAGGACAGAGGUCACAUGCGGAGCUUCACAGCCUCGCCCGGAUGUGUGCUGGGGACACGAGGACGCCCCAUCUGGUCACCCCCUCAUCCCCACCUCGACUCCACAGGAAGUAGGAGGAUAUCUGAAAUUUGGACACAUUAAAUAUCAUGGGUUUAGCCUGGCGUGAUGGCGCACACCUGUAAUCCCAGCACUCGGGAGGCUGAGGCAGGAUGAUCUCUGUGAGUUCGAGACCACCCUGAGCUACAUAGUUCCAGGUAAGUAUCAACUACAUAGUGAGACCCUGUCUCAAAAAUAAAUAAAUUCUGAUAAUGAGAUAAGUUUAUUUUGUUGUCCCCACAUGUUCUGUUAUAGGUUGGCAUGGUAAGACACCGCCAAAUCGGCAGCUCUCCUGUGGCCCUGCGCAUCCCCUACUCCCCUCCUCAGCCCCAGGACUGCAAGUCCCCAGACGGCCCCCGCUCCGCGGUUUUCCAAAGGCGCUCACGCAGGGAGUGGGCCUGGUGUGGCUCUCAGCUGUGCCGAAUGCCACAGUGGUGAGGGAAUUGUUUGUCUCGGGCCAGGAGAUGCCAAUGCCGUGACAGGCCGUGUGCAGGCUGCUGCUGGUGCAGUCGGGGCUGUGCUUCCUGACAUUCACGCAGGCCCGUUUGCUGCUGGCGUGAGCAGAGCCUCCCGGCGUUCCUUCCUCAGGGUGGUGUGUAACAAUGCCAAGUGCUUGAAAUCAUCCGCCAGGAAUCUCAGCAACCAGCCCAGAGCUCUGCGGGCACAUCCGGCCCACAGGAAGGUCCUAACCUGCUCGCCCUUAGAGCCCACGGACUCCCCGAAAGCAGAAAGCACACCGGAGUGCCAUGGUUUCCACCCUGUGUCCACUGAACCCUGCUAUGGCCAGUGGGUGCCCGAGAUGUCGGAGACAGCUGAUCCCCCAGGACCUCCGUCUGCCAGGGGUGACGUAGAUGCUGAAGCAGCAGCAGGCGCCCCAAGUGCUAGAGCGCGAGGCAGGGACAGGAGGAGCAGGGAGUAGCAGGGCCAGCGCUGAGCCCUGGGGUAGGAUGGGGAACCCGCCUGGCCGGGAAGGAAGGGUAGGACACCAGGGAGCGGGCUCCACAUCCAGGGAGGUGGAGGCACAGCCCACAUGGUUCCUCAGAGCACAGCUGAGGCAGGAGGGUGCACCUGAGUAGGCACCGACACAGGCCCUGUUUGUUGUGUGGACGGACUGGAUUAAUCCUGCAAACCAGCAGUUCAUCCAGCCUCAAGGGCUCACCGACCUUUAUUUAACUUGGGGUGGGCCUCAUCCUUAUACAUGAGUGGUUUUUCCCUCCUCGGAGCCCUGGGGAUUGAAUGCUAGGCAAGCACUCUACCACUACAUUACAUCCCCAGCCUUUUCUGCUUUGCAUUUUGCGACAGGGUCUCACCCAGGCUGACCUUGAACUUGCAAUCUUCCUGCCUCAGCCUCCCAAGUAGCACUAUAGGCCUGCAGCAGGAGGCCUGGCUAAGGUUGAACUGUGAAGGUUAGUGAGCUAGCGUAUGCAGAGGGCUUUGCAUGGCACCUGGUGAACAGCAAGUACGCCUCGCUGCUGGUUCUCAUCCUUUUGGGUUCAGCCUCCUUUGAGAGCAGGUAAAUAUUCUCCUCAGAUGCAAGGUUUUGUGUACAAUGCAAUAGGGCUCACCGUUUCUUUUCUUUCUUUCUUUUUUUUGAGACAGGGUCUCACUGCAUAGUCUCGACUGGCCUUGAACUUACUGUAUGGCCCAGGAUGGCCUCAAACUUGCAGUCAUCUUCCUGCCUCAGCUUCCUGAGAGCUGGGCAUAUAGGUAUGCACCGACAUGCUCGGCCUCACCUAUUUGCUGAAACGAUUCCAAGUUAAGAAUCCUGCCAUGAGACACAGGUACUUAUCUGAAGCCAUUUAAGACACUUAUUUCAGAUUCACUGCAAAAUCAAGGAAGAUGCAGAGACUCCCACCAAACCUACUGUCCUCACACACCAGCAGCAUCUACCGCUAUUGACAUGUGCCAAUGUGUCGCCCCCGGAGGGAUGUCAACAGAGUACGUCCCAGCCCCACAGAGCCCUGGGUGCUCAUCUGAAGUUUAAAAUCAGGAGAGUCUGACAUCGGAUUAAACUUUUUUUUUCUGAAGAGAAAUAGCAGAAAUGGAGAAGGAAAUCAUCAUUGGUUCUUGGACUGGGCUGUACAUUAUGAAAGCAUCUGUAGAGAUUUUUAGAGACAUCAGUGCCCCGCCUUCUGGUUUAAUGAACCUGGAGGGGGCUGGGCAUUAGGACUUCUAGAAUGUUCUAGGUGAGUCUGUGCUGAGGUGUCACUCAGCGGGAAGCGCUUGCCUGGCACACACAAGGUCCUGAGGUCACCAGGGGAGGCCAGAGACGACACAGGAAGGCCGGUCAGGAUACCCCGAGGGUGGGCCUGGUGUGACCACGGUGUGAUGGCCAUGAGGCGAGCCACAUUGCAGGGGGUCACCGAGGAAGAAAGCGAGGAAGCAGGCGAGCGUCUGGGGAGCUCGGGGUGAAGGUAGUGAAGCGGCGGUGGGGAGGGGGCCCAGGCCUUUUUGCUGGAAGGGCAUCGCUGUCGUCUGGUCUGCCUGAGGGAAGGGAGCGGGGCCAGAGCAGCUGUGGGGAGCAGAGCAGGGAGGAACUGUCCAGAGCUUUGCAGAGGCCGCUGGAGCUGCUCGGACUAGCACGGGCUGCUUGCUUCUCUGAGCCGCAGGUGAAGACGUUUCUGGAAGGGUGCAGGCCUCCUCUCUGAGAAGGGGGGAUUCCAGUCCCACCCAGGAUCCCCCUUUCCAGGCCCAGCUCCUGGAACUCAGCCUAAUGCUCCUGCCCUCGAAUGCGGCUACCGCUCCCGGACUGGAGGCAGCAGGACCUGAGGGCCCCACCUGGUCACCGUCGCAGUCCUGAGGCACUGCUCUGAGUCCCUGCUGUUCGUGGAGCCCUAGGCACAGCUGGGAAAGAGCGGCUGUGGGGACGGGGCCAGCCGGGACAGCUGCGCUACCUUUCCCUGCAGGGGCGCCUCCUCUGCUGCCCCAGAGCUCACAGCGGCCCUGGCUUCUGGCUACAUCACCGUUGGUCAGGGUUCCUGGAGGAACAGAAAUGGGUAGGAGGUGAGUGCAGAAUCGGGCACGGGUUUGUCACGCAGGCGGGAGAGCCCGCAGUGGGUGCCUUCGUGCUCAGCUGCAGAAGCCGAAGAGCAGGAGGGCAAGGGACACGGCACCAGUUCAAAGGCCUGGACACUCCCGGUGGACCCCAGGGUGGGUCUGUGGGUCUGUGAGGGAGGCUGAAGACACUGGAGACCGGUGUCCCGAGGCCAUGGCCGCAAGAGGUGCGCCUGGCAGGAAGACAAAUCCGCCAGCUUCCCUUUCCCUUUCUUGUUCCACCCAGGCCACCGCAGCGAGGCCCGCGUGUCGCUCACCCACAGACGACUGCAGACUGUGCUGCUAGCACAGCUCAUCUGCCAGGUGUCUCUGAACCCCUGGUCCCCCGAGUGCCAUCCAUCAGGAAAUCCUUGACUCUUGUCUCCAGAAGCAGCCGGAACUGAUCUGCUUCCUGCCUCGAGUUGGGCCAAAUGUGCUCACAGUGGGGUUUGCAGAGGAGCCUCACGUCACGGGGUGAGGGGUCAUCUGUAAUGCCAAGUUCUGGGGUCCCCUUCAGGCUCAGGGACUUGGGCGUGGGCCCCGCGCUCUGGUGCCUGCUGACGUCUGAGAAGGGCCACUCUGCUGCAGGCCCGCAUGGGCUCUGGUGCAAACUGCCUCGAUGUCCCCCACUGUCCCCCACAUACUGACCUGUCCUCUGUCACACACUCCUAGUGGCAUGAAUGAUGUUUUCAGAGACAGCCCCGAUUCUGUCGCAGGAAGCCUGCCCUGGUCUCCAGCAGGACCUGUCCAUCGGCCUCAGCAGAGCCUCCCUGUCUACGCCAGCUCCGGGGAAGGGCGUAUUCCGUUCGUAGAUGCCAGCUGGUCCCCAACAUGGGACGUUGGCCCUGGCUGCUCCCUGCACCUUCAGGUGCUCAGGCUGUGACCUCAGGACCUGCUUUGUACUUACUUGAUGUAACUGGCAACUUCCUCGGGGAAACCUCGGCCGGUUCAUGAGCCACAGGAGCCCUCCUUACCGAACUCCAGCAUGUAACCCUCAGCAGAGCACCUGAUGACCAUGAUGUUUCAUUUUUAUUUAUUUAUUUGUUUGUUUGUUUAUUUAUUUAUUUAUUUUGCUAUUGGGGAUCAAACUCAGGAACCUUGUGUUUGCAAGGCAGGCAGCGACACAACUGAGCUCCAUCCUGGCCUCCUCUUUAUUUCUUGUCUCAGGCAAUGUGGGUUUUACAAGACAUGGACCGGGUUUAUCUUGGUGCCCUGCACCUGGCAUACAGUAGGUGUUCAGUGUGUAUUUGCUGCACGCACACAGGAAGGGAUGGAGGGAUGGACUCACCUCAUCCUCACUUGUGGCUCUAAGUUGUCACCCUGAACCGGUGACCCCUCACACAGUUGAGUUUUGGGGGCCUCCAGUCUGUGAGCUGUGGGGUCCCCUGUGACCACGGUGCCAAAGGAGGUGGGAAUGCAGGAGGGUAUGAGGCUACUCCAGGCGUUUCAUGAUGGUGUCACGGGAGAAGCAGGGCAGCCGCGAAGCUCGCAGUCUGCGCCUCCAGGACCUGACCUGGUCUCCCUGAGCCACGGCUCCGCGGUCACGUGAUCCUUUGCCCUGGGCGUCCUCGGCGGCUGCCUGGACUCUCCUUUCAGCUUUAGUGGGUUUGAGUCGUGUUUCUGUCACCUCCUGUGCAGAGACGUGUGAGGAUCACUCUGAGGAGCUCAGCGGUUGUGAACCUCACCCUGGACACCAGCCUUGUGAACUCCAGGGGUCGAGGCCGGCCACCCUCCACAGAGUGACAGAGUGUGGGGCCCAAGGACAUAGUUACCAGCUAAGUGGCCUCAGGGACAUCUCUGGGACCCUCCAUCAGCUCCUCUCUGUCCAGUGUAUGAAAUGCUGAGAGCAAGGAGCAUGAGUCGGGAUUAGACAGUUACAUCCCGGGGCAGCAGCUGCUGCGAGGCCCAGCUCAGCAAGUCCAGCCUCAUGACCUCCUUCCUCCCUCUCCGUCAGCGUCACCCAUGGCCUGGUCUUGGGGUGCAAUACGCACUAGCCAUCCAUGGCCUCACAUUUCUUUUCACAGCAAU
Molecule: long non-coding RNA, 5492 nt
Filed under: Fukomys damarensis (Damara mole-rat)
Lineage: Eukaryota; Metazoa; Chordata; Mammalia; Rodentia; Bathyergidae
Description: lncRNA (ENSFDAG00000025786.1)
Source: RNAcentral